This 253-nucleotide ribosomal RNA is filed under the name uncultured bacterium. RNAcentral describes it as "partial 16S ribosomal RNA". It matches the Rfam family "Bacterial small subunit ribosomal RNA", at positions 524 to 776 of the family's 1533-position model. The record is from RNAcentral.
UACGGAGGGGGCUAGCGUUGUUCGGAAUUACUGGGCGUAAAGCGCACGUAGGCGGCGAUUUAAGUCAGAGGUGAAAGCCCGGAGCUCAACUCCGGAACUGCCUUUGAGACUGGAUUGCUAGAAUCUUGGAGAGGCGGGUGGAAUUCCGAGUGUAGAGGUGAAAUUCGUAGAUAUUCGGAAGAACACCAGUGGCGAAGGCGGCCCGCUGGACAAGUAUUGACGCUGAGGUGCGAAAGCGUGGGGAGCAAACAGG